UACGUAGGGUGCAAGCGUUGUCCGGAAUUAUUGGGCGUAAAGAGCUCGUAGGCGGUUCGUCGCGUCGGUCUGUGAAAACCUGAGGCUCAACCUCAGGCCUGCAGUCGAUACGGGCGGACUUGAGUACUGCAGGGGAGACUGGAAUUCUGGUGUAGCGGUGAAAUGCGCAGAUAUCAGGAGGAACACCGGUGGCGAAGGCGGGUCUCU
This 207-nucleotide ribosomal RNA is filed under the name uncultured bacterium. Its description in RNAcentral is "partial 16S ribosomal RNA". It matches the Rfam family "Bacterial small subunit ribosomal RNA", at positions 524 to 730 of the family's 1533-position model. The record is from RNAcentral.